CCCCGUAGCCAGCGAUCGCUGUGACUGUGAGGGAGAGAAACCAAGGCAGAAGGGCAGAGGGUCGAUGCGCUGGGACUUGCCUAUGCGCGAAGGGCAUCCUCGGAGCCUGAAGUUCCUCCGUCGCCGCAAUGCCGCACUGCAACUGUCAGGCCCCGGCACUGCGUAUUCGAUGGUGAGCACGGUGAGAAUUCUUUCCGAAUUUUUGCCUCGUCGUCCACUACCUAUGGCACCCUCGAGAGUAUAGCUUAGGGCGUGGGAGCGUGUGAUCGGCGUUCUCCGGUGAUGGCUUCCGCCAUGGAAGUGACGCGCCGCUGCUGUCUGUAGUUGAGAGAGAGAUGUGGUCGCGACCGUCGAUCGCGGAACCAGUGGCCAAGACUAGACCACGCUUACCGUUUUGUUUCAUCCGAUUCAGACCGUCAAUCUCUGAUCCGACGGGCAUCAGUGCAUACCGGUUCGGCGUCUCAUCUCAAGCGUCGUAUCACGAUCGUGCGGCUCUAUAUGCACGAUACCUCUUCGUGCGAUAGAUCUGAGUCGUUCAUUUUGGAUCGGGCGCGUAGGAUUACAUCAUGCUUCAUAAAAUCCGAGCCAUAGAUCCCGGAUCCGGCGGCCACGAAAACGUACCAUUUCGUCGUGGGCGAGAUCUAAUCAUUGUCGUGCGCGCUUGAUCCUGCGGCCUAGACUCAACCAUACCCUUUCAGCCUGACAUUAUUGCAUAAGAGCCCCACGACUUGUUCAUAAUUAACCCGCCAACCGAUUACUACUGUAAAGAAAUUAAUUUAGGUCCUAUUAUUUACAUAUUAGCGUCUAGGUUCUUCGGAACCUUACACCGCCGUCCACGAAUUUCAGAAUAAAUACAAAAUUGAAGCUGAAAUGAAUUUUUAGUAUACAAACAAUUCCAGAGAUCACGAAAAAUUCAUAUCUUGUCCGUUUUUACAACUCUGAUUUGAUCUGUUUCAGUUGUGAUACCCCGUAAUUAAAAUUGUCGACUCAUUAACAACAACAUUUGUAUUAUAUCACAUACUUAUAUAAUUUGAUAUUUGUUUAACUUAUGUUUAGCAGAAUUAACCUGCUAAUCAAAAAUCAUAUGUCUAUAAUUAUAAUUUGAGUAAAAAAGUGAUCUAUAAAUUAAAGUUAUAACUUAGAUUAAAGCUAAAAUUAGAUAUUUCUUUAGAGUAUCUUUAUUACAUGGAUUAUAAUCAAUAUAGAACAUAGUUUAAUACCUAGAACUUUCGAAAAUUGUACCCGUUAAAUCGUAACUCUGAUUGUAGUGCUUCUCGAACCUACACUCUCGUAGCGACGCAUAGAAUGUUAUUGUGUGGUUCAUUCUCAUGUUUGGUGUUAUGUUAUUUUUAUAUAUUCCCUGCCUAUCUGUAUGUAUUGCUACAAGUAGAGGCGAGGUGACGAGCAACCCGAAGCCAACUUUUGGGUCAGCAUCUAGACAACACGUUAUCACAAGUAUAAGACAAGUUGUGCCCUUGAUCACUCUUCUUUACCCAAUAAUGUUCCUAUUAAUCAUUAUGAUCUGCUUAGGUGAAUCUUGAUGGGACCUGUUGGGGGUCUUCCUCUUCCGAAGGUCCUCAAAAACAUGACUAACCAUCUGCUUCUAGCAUAAUAUUGAUUACUAUAGGGAGCUUCGGUUCAUGAUGAGAGUCUUCUCCUAUGGCGAAGGUAUACAAGACGAAGAUAUAGCCCGCGGAUGAUAAGAAUGAACGCCGAAGCUAUAACUGAAAAUUAACAGCUUCGGUUUAAAAUGGUGACGAAGACUAAGCAUGGUGCUGAGCCGAAAAGGAAAAGACUAGCUAGUCCCUAAUAAUCUAUGUUAUAGUUGUGAAUAAAUGUUAAGGAUAUAAAUGUACUUUUAUCCGGGCUGCGUCUCGUGCCUAUAAAUAGGUGAACAGUGCCACCAUACUGUUCACGCUGAAUUGUAAUUGCUUUCGCAUCAACACCUUCGAACAAGCCGAAGGUACUAAUGUAAUCUAAAUUCUGUUGAUGCCCAUGUGCGUAUUAUGAAAUACAUAUGUAUAUGAGCCA
RNAcentral lists this long non-coding RNA (2031 nucleotides) under Zea mays. RNAcentral describes it as "long non-coding RNA (ZMAY_LNC000561)". The record is from RNAcentral. Lineage: Eukaryota; Viridiplantae; Streptophyta; Magnoliopsida; Poales; Poaceae.